UUAAACAAUUCAUAAGCCACAGCCAGCCAUCGAAAGCUAUACCUUUAGAUAUCUCUUUAACUUAUUCACCAUAUUCCGAUUAUUUUUGUGGCUUUCAGUCUCUUGAGGAUUAUGUGAUAUGCAAUGGUGAUCCCUUCUAGUGUAUCAAACAAUUUGUAUUCCAGAGGACCAGGUUUAUGAGCAUGGAAAGUUUUCGUUGUAGUUUUAUGAUGAAAUGAUCGUUGAUAAUCUGUUCAUGUCUUUUUAGUCUCUCUUUUUUUAUAUACAUUUUUUAUGAGUAUACUCUUCUAGGGAUACAAUCUUAAUUUUUUAGAAACACAGACAGUAUGUUUUUCCCAACGGCCAGGUUUUGAGAACUAUCUUCCCCUAAACCCAACUCGUGUAGCUAUGUUCUUGUUUAUUGCAUCAUAUAAAUAAAAGAAUUAUUGAAGCAUAUAUCAUUCAUAUUUUAUUAUGUUAUAUAUCUUUGAUAAGUUGGAAAUUAUCAUAUAUUCAUAAGCUUUCGUGAAAUCCCACACAAUCUUCUUUCUUUUUUAACAUUUACGUACGGUAAUCUCCUUUACAGACCCUUUAUAUAUAGUCUUGCGAAACCUGAAUAAUAACCACUCGAUUUGCUCUGUAAUUUACUAGCUUCUCCAAAAAGCCCUACCAAACAUUUGUUAUGGGAGUAUUUGAUACACUAGUAUGGAUCACUUUUGUGAGUCACAUCACAAAGCAUGGUGUUAUUAUUGUGUUAAUUGGUAGUUGGAGAGGGAGUUAAUCACUUGCAGUUGGAAAAAGCUUUUGUAAGAAAAGGAAGACAACAGAACCAACAUCUAAGAAAAAGCAGGAGGUGGAUGUAAGAAAGAUACAACAGAGGCCAGACCAUAUCAUAUAUCACUCGCACUAAAAUAUAUGUACAGGGGAUUUUCUUACAGAGAAAAUCCAUCUAGAUUUAUUUUAUGUAAUAAUUUAUAUUUUAUAUUAAAUUUUAAUGAUUCAAUUAUUUAAUUAAAA
Molecule: long non-coding RNA, 996 nt
Organism: Cajanus cajan (pigeon pea)
Lineage: Eukaryota; Viridiplantae; Streptophyta; Magnoliopsida; Fabales; Fabaceae
Source: RefSeq, a predicted model, not a curated record